Molecule: non-coding RNA, 754 nt
Organism: Jatropha curcas
Lineage: Eukaryota; Viridiplantae; Streptophyta; Magnoliopsida; Malpighiales; Euphorbiaceae
Source: RefSeq, a predicted model, not a curated record
UCUUUUUGAUUUUUGAAUUAUAUAACGGAUGCUCAACCUUUUGAGGGUGCUUUCAGUGGAGCAUGAAGUCUUGAAGAGGGAGAUUGGGAGACUACGAGCCUUGUGUCAGCAGCAACAACAACAGCAACAGCCGCAGCAGCAGCAGCAACCAUCUUCCAGCCAUCGCCGAACUAACAGCAGGGACCUUGAAUCCCAGUUUGCAAACCUCUCCUUGAAACAAAAGGAUGCCAAUUCUGGUCGUGAUCCUGUGACAGGUCCACUCCGCACUUAGAUAAAUAAAUUAACCAGAGAUUUGUUGUGCCACCAUUUUGCUUAGUUGGGCUACCACAUUAACCAUCAUUAUUUUCUCCUCGAGUGGGGUAAAGCCGAGUUCCUCCAGUCUCCAUCCCAUCUCUGUACCUGAUUUGCACAAUUUAUUAUUACUUUGUUUCUUGCCCCUCUUUUCGUUUGAUAAAAUUAAUAUCUUCACGUGCACCUGGUUGUCAUUGCGGGAAAAUUAUGUUUUCAGGCGAGAUGACUUACCGGAGGUGGUAACUUAAAAGAGGUUCCAUAUUUGGUCUCUUCUGUAUGUUCAGAUGAUUAUAAUUCAGGAAAUUUAUGUGCUCCACUUGUAAUCCAUUUAGAGUAUCUAAUUCGUGGAGUCGAGAUGUAGCGAAGGAUGUUUAGAGCAUGUUGGAUCUGCGGCAUUUGUAAUGGUGUUAUUCCAAAGAAAUGCUUUCUUGUAAAAUCUGUUAAAUGAAAUUCACGUCUUCUU